RNAcentral lists this ribosomal RNA (402 nucleotides) under uncultured bacterium. Its description in RNAcentral is "bacterial SSU rRNA". It matches the Rfam family "Bacterial small subunit ribosomal RNA", at positions 28 to 433 of the family's 1533-position model. The record is from RNAcentral.
GACGAACGCUGGCGGCGUGCUUAACACAUGCAAGUCGAGCGGUAAGGCCCCUUUGGGGGUACACGAGCGGCGAACGGGUGAGUAACACGUGGGUGACCUGCCCUCAGCUCUGGGAUAAGCCUGGGAAACUGGGUCUAAUACCGGAUAUGACUCCAUGACGCAUGUUGUGGGGUGGAAAGCCUUGUGCGGCUGGGGAUGGGCCCGCGGCCUAUCAGCUUGUUGGUGGGGGAUGGCCUACCAAGGCGACGACGGGUAGCCGGCCUGAGAGGGCGACCGGCCACACUGGGACUGAGACACGGCCCAGACUCCUACGGGAGGCAGCAGUGGGGAAUCUUGCGCAAUGGGCGAAAGCCUGACGCAGCGACGCCGCGUGAGGGAUGACGGCCUGGUUGUAACUACUUC